Molecule: ribosomal RNA, 330 nt
Filed under: uncultured eukaryote
Lineage: Eukaryota
Description: partial 18S ribosomal RNA
Rfam family: Eukaryotic small subunit ribosomal RNA
Source: RNAcentral
CCCUUAGAUGUUCUGGGCCGCGCGCGCGCUACACUGAUGAAUUCAACGAGCUCCUAACCUAGGCCGAAGGGUCCGGGUAAUCUUUGAAAUUUCAUCGUGAUGGGGAUAGAUUAUUGCAAUUAUUAAUCUUCAACGAGGAAUUCCUAGUAAGCGCGAGUCAUCAGCUCGCGUUGAUUACGUCCCUGCCCUUUGUACACACCGCCCGUCGCUCCUACCGAUUGAAUGGUCCGGUGAAAUGUUCGGACCGCGACAAGGCGGACGGUUCGCUGUCAGCUUUGCUGCGGGAAGUUCAUUAAACCUUAUCAUUUAGAGGAAGGAGAAGUCGUAACA